UAAAUGUACACUAUUUCCUGCUGCCAGAGACACAAACCCUGGGCUGGAUGAAUAUUUGGUCUGCUCUAGUACUUACGAAGUUACAGUUCUGAAGUUUCACAAAUGUGACAGCUGCACAUCUCUCCAUGAUGAUGAAGUCAGAUGAUUAUCAUGGUUCAGGUGCUGUAUCUUCUCUGGACCUCUUCCCACAGCAAGUAUUUAGGGGGACUCACCUUGGUUUAUCACCCUAUGCUAAGCACGGCAUGAAGAAGACAGAACAGACCAAACAGGCAUUGAACCACUACUUAAAGUUACCUGAGAAAAAGCUAUUUGGGAUUCUGAGCUGUGGCUGCAGCUCCUGGACCUGCCUCAAACUGUCCAUGUAACCUUGGGACUAUGACUUCAUUCCUUGGAGUUCCCAACUGGAAGAGAUGAGGAAGAAACCCAACUUUCACGUAGAGGAGACAGCCCUGGAUUUCUAGACCUCGGUUCCUAUCCAUCCUCCACAUACAUAGAGCACCAGCUAAUGCUUCCUUUCACACUUCGUCCUUCCAGCCUCUGUAAUUUACAGACUUCAGAAGUUUUAACUGAAUGUUACUAUAAGCCAUCAGUUAGUGUUGUUUCAGACCAGAGUCUAGUUGGAGGUGUUUAGAAACACAGAGCAAUGCUAGGCUGUAAUUCCAUCAUGCUCAGAACUGAACACAGCAGGAAAGCAGAGAAACCAUCCACUGUAAACAUCCACUGUAACUUUGACCAUACUGAGCUCACUGAAGAAUAAGGCUUUGUAUAUGCCUUUCCUAGCAGCUCCCAGGUUUAGUUCCCCUGAACUUGUUUUAUAACAAAUGCCUGAGAAACUUCCAAGGUAAAACUGGAAAAUAUCACACACUAUUCCAUAGCCAUCUCUGUUUAAUUCUGUUUUGUACAGAGGCAGCCUCAGCUCAGUACUUUACACUGGUGUUAUCUGAUCCUGAACAUCUGUAGAUAAGCAUAGGAUGUGUUGGGGAUUUAGGACUUUACACACUGGCACUCAGAAGGAACUGGGCACUGCACUCG
Anser brachyrhynchus (Pink-footed goose) is the source of this 1032-nucleotide long non-coding RNA. Lineage: Eukaryota; Metazoa; Chordata; Aves; Anseriformes; Anatidae. The record is from Ensembl.